This 87-nucleotide non-coding RNA is filed under the name Pseudomonas psychrophila. The record is from RNAcentral. Lineage: Bacteria; Pseudomonadati; Pseudomonadota; Gammaproteobacteria; Pseudomonadales; Pseudomonadaceae. RNAcentral also lists the same sequence under 1 other name.
UUUUAUGGUGGCCGUGCGCAGGGCACUUUCAAGUGCGCCGGUUUCCAAGUUUGCCGGUCUACUAACCUGCGUACGGCUGCCUCCCCC